RNAcentral lists this non-coding RNA (148 nucleotides) under Nomascus leucogenys (northern white-cheeked gibbon). The record is from Rfam by way of RNAcentral. Lineage: Eukaryota; Metazoa; Chordata; Mammalia; Primates; Hylobatidae.
GCCAGGUGUGGUGGUUCAUACCUGUAAUCCCAGCUACUUGGGAGGCUGAUGCAGGAGAAUCGCUUGAACCCAGGAGGCAGAGGUUGCAGUGAGCUAAGAUCACGCCACUGCACUCCAGCCUGGGUGACAGAGUGAGACCCUGCCUUAA